CCCUUAGAUGUUCUGGGCGGCCCGCGCACUACAUUGGCACUAGCAAAGAGAUCCUAGAUUGAAUUCUUUGGGGUAUUCUUCUAAAUGGUGUCGUGACUGGGAUAAAUCCUUGUAAUUAUUGGUUUUGAACGAGGAAUUCCUUGUAAUCGCGGUUUAUCAGCUCGCGUUGAAUGCGUCCCUGCCCUUUGUACACACCGCCCGUCGCUCCUACCGAUAGAUCGUCCGGUGAAGCUCACGGAGUGACUGUUCACGCAACGGUUUACGAAGUGAAAUGGACCUCACGAUUUAGAGGAAGGAGAAGUCGUAACA
This 309-nucleotide ribosomal RNA is filed under the name uncultured eukaryote. Its description in RNAcentral is "partial 18S ribosomal RNA". It matches the Rfam family "Eukaryotic small subunit ribosomal RNA", at positions 1470 to 1796 of the family's 1831-position model. The record is from RNAcentral.